GGCCGGGACCUGCGCAACAGCAUCCCCGUGAACCGAGUCAGGGCCGGAAGGCAGCAGCUCUCAGCGGACAAUGCCGUGUGCCGUAGCCAUCCUGGUCGUC
Molecule: signal recognition particle RNA, 100 nt
Filed under: Actinomycetota bacterium
Lineage: Bacteria; Bacillati; Actinomycetota
Description: signal recognition particle sRNA small type
Rfam family: Bacterial small signal recognition particle RNA
About the family: The signal recognition particle (SRP) is a universally conserved ribonucleoprotein involved in the co-translational targeting of proteins to membranes. Archaeal SRP consists of a 7S RNA and homologues of the eukaryotic SRP19 and SRP54 proteins.
Source: RNAcentral